UACGUAGGGGGCAAGCGUUGUCCGGAAUCAUUGGGCGUAAAGAGCGUGUAGGUGGCUCGGUAAGUCCGCUGUGAAAGUCCAGGGCUCAACCCUGGAAUGCCGGUGGAAACUGUCGAGCUCGAGUCCGGAAGAGGCGAGUGGAAUUCCUGGUGUAGCGGUGAAAUGCGCAGAUAUCAGGAGGAACACCAAUGGCGAAGGCAGCUCGCUGGGACGGUACUGACACUGAGACGCGAAAGCGUGGGGAGCAAACAGG
This 253-nucleotide ribosomal RNA is filed under the name uncultured bacterium. RNAcentral's name for it is "partial 16S ribosomal RNA". It matches the Rfam family "Bacterial small subunit ribosomal RNA", at positions 524 to 776 of the family's 1533-position model. The record is from RNAcentral.